Molecule: ribosomal RNA, 253 nt
Filed under: uncultured bacterium
Lineage: Bacteria
Description: partial 16S ribosomal RNA
Rfam family: Bacterial small subunit ribosomal RNA
Source: RNAcentral
UACGGAGGGGACUAGCGUUGUUCGGAAUUACUGGGCGUAAAGCGCACGUAGGCGGCUUUGUAAGUUAGAGGUGAAAGCCCGGGGCUCAACUCCGGAACUGCCUUUAAGACUGCAUCGCUUGAAUCCAGGAGAGGUGAGUGGAAUUCCGAGUGUAGAGGUGAAAUUCGUAGAUAUUCGGAAGAACACCAGUGGCGAAGGCGGCUCACUGGACUGGUAUUGACGCUGAGGUGCGAAAGCGUGGGGAGCAAACAGG